AAUUCGAUUAACGCGAAGAACCUUACCUGGUCUUGACAUCCACAGAACUUUCCAGAGAUGGAUUGGUGCCUUCGGGAACUGUGAGACAGGUGCUGCAUGGCUGUCGUCAGCUCGUGUUGUGAAAUGUUGGGUUAAGUCCCGCAACGAGCGCAACCCUUAUCUUUUGUUGCCAGCGGUCCGGCCGGGAACUCAAAGGAGACUGCCAGUGAUAAACUGGAGGAAGGUGGGGAUGACGUCAAGUCAUCAUGGCCCUUACGACCAGGGCUACACACGUGCUACAAUGGCGCAUACAAAGAGAAGCGACCUCGCGAGAGCAAGCGGACCUCAUAAAGUGCGUGUAGUCCGGAUUGGAGUCUGCAACUCGACUCCAUGAAGUCGGAAUCGCUAGUAAUCGU
This 395-nucleotide ribosomal RNA is filed under the name uncultured Enterobacter sp. Its description in RNAcentral is "bacterial SSU rRNA". It matches the Rfam family "Bacterial small subunit ribosomal RNA", at positions 948 to 1345 of the family's 1533-position model. Lineage: Bacteria; Pseudomonadati; Pseudomonadota; Gammaproteobacteria; Enterobacterales; Enterobacteriaceae. The record is from RNAcentral.